CACGCUGUAAACGAUGAAUACUAGGUGUGGGGGGGCUGACCCCUUCCGUGCCGGAGUUAACACAAUAAGUAUUCCACCUGGGGAGUACGGCCGCAAGGUUGAAACUCAAAGGAAUUGACGGGGGCCCGCACAAGCAGUGGAUUAUGUGGUUUAAUUCGAAGCAACGCGAAGAACCUUACCAGGGUUUGACAUCCCACUAACGAGGCAGAGAUGCGUUAGGUGCCCUUCGGGGAAAGUGGAGACAGGUGG
This 249-nucleotide ribosomal RNA is filed under the name uncultured Oscillospiraceae bacterium. Its description in RNAcentral is "partial 16S ribosomal RNA". It matches the Rfam family "Bacterial small subunit ribosomal RNA", at positions 796 to 1041 of the family's 1533-position model. The record is from RNAcentral. Lineage: Bacteria; Bacillati; Bacillota; Clostridia; Eubacteriales; Oscillospiraceae.